This 522-nucleotide ribosomal RNA is filed under the name uncultured bacterium. Its description in RNAcentral is "partial 16S ribosomal RNA". It matches the Rfam family "Bacterial small subunit ribosomal RNA", at positions 355 to 868 of the family's 1533-position model. The record is from RNAcentral.
UGGGGAAUUUUGGACAAUGGGCGCAAGCCUGAUCCAGCCAUGCCGCGUGCGGGAAGAAGGCCUUCGGGUUGUAAACCGCUUUGUCAGGGAAGAAAUCUUCUGAGUUAAUACCUCGGGAGGAUGACGGUACCUGAAGAAUAAGCACCGGCUAACUACGUGCCAGCAGCCGCGGUAAUACGUAGGGUGCAAGCGUUAAUCGGAAUUACUGGGCGUAAAGCGUGCGCAGGCGGUUUUGUAAGACAGAGGUGAAAUCCCCGGGCUCAACCUGGGAACUGCCUUUGUGACUGCAAGGCUUGAGUGCGGCAGAGGGGGAUGGAAUUCCGCGUGUAGCAGUGAAAUGCGUAGAUAUGCGGAGGAACACCGAUGGCGAAGGCAAUCCCCUGGGCCUGCACUGACGCUCAUGCACGAAAGCGUGGGGAGCAAACAGGAUUAGAUAGCCCUGGUAGUCCACGCCCUAAAACGGAUGUCAACUGGUUGUUGGGAAGGUUCCUUCUCAGUAACGUAGCUAACGCGUGAAGUUGA